RNAcentral lists this ribosomal RNA (253 nucleotides) under uncultured bacterium. Its description in RNAcentral is "partial 16S ribosomal RNA". It matches the Rfam family "Bacterial small subunit ribosomal RNA", at positions 524 to 776 of the family's 1533-position model. The record is from RNAcentral.
UACGAAGGGGGCUAGCGUUGUUCGGAAUUACUGGGCGUAAAGCGCGCGCAGGCGGUCUUCCAAGUCAGUGGUGAAAGCCCGGAGCUCAACUCCGGAAUUGCCAUUGAAACUGUUAGACUUGAGGAUGAGAGAGGUGAGUGGAAUUCCCAGUGUAGAGGUGAAAUUCGUCGAUAUUGGGAAGAACACCGGUGGCGAAGGCGGCUCACUGGCUCAUUACUGACGCUCAGGCGCGAUAGCGUGGGGAUCAAACAGG